AGGCCGGCGGUAGCUCGGUGACAUAGCCGGUGGAGCACGGCCGAGACCCUUUCUCCUCUGGAUCAUCUCGCGGGCGGCGAUGGUGGAGAAGAAGCGCGGGUGGAGGUCGAGUUCAAGGGAGGCGGCGGUGGAUACGGCGGCGGAGAGGAAGUCGAACCUGGCCUGGAGGUCGGAGAUCUGGUAGGCGGUGGCCAAGUGGGCGGAGGUUGCGGAGAGGAGGGCAAAGACGAGGGAAGCGAGGAGGUCGGGAGUGAGGGGGGUGCGGGAGGAGGAGGGCGGCGGCGACGAGGAGGAAGAUUAGGAGUGAGGCGGCGAACUGGAGGGCGCUGAGGCGGUGGACGGGGGAGCGGUCAUCGGCCACGGCGG
RNAcentral lists this long non-coding RNA (366 nucleotides) under Phoenix dactylifera (date palm). Its description in RNAcentral is "long non-coding RNA (PDAC_LNC016980)". The record is from RNAcentral. Lineage: Eukaryota; Viridiplantae; Streptophyta; Magnoliopsida; Arecales; Arecaceae.